Molecule: unclassified non-coding RNA, 334 nt
Filed under: uncultured fungus
Lineage: Eukaryota; Fungi
Description: partial contains small subunit ribosomal RNA, internal transcribed spacer 1, and 5.8S ribosomal RNA
Rfam family: Eukaryotic small subunit ribosomal RNA (bases 1-73)
Source: RNAcentral
GCAAACUUGGUCAUUUAGAGGAAGUAAAAGUCGUAACAAGGUUUCCGUAGGUGAACCUGCGGAAGGAUCAUUACUAAGGUAUGCCAGGCGGCUGAGGCCGCCGGUUACCCGUCCUUGUGUUAAACGUACGGGCCCCGCAACCCUGACCAGGACUGCGGGGUACGAGACUACAUUUCGGCCGAAGCGUUGCGCGCCGUCCGCGUCAUGGCGGGGCGUGCGACCGCGGCCGGUCGUAUUCCAUACUCUGAGGAAAGAAUGAAGUCUGAGAGAAUGAAAAUAAAGCAAAACUUUCAACAACGGAUCUCUUGGCUCUGGCAUCGAUGAAGAACGCAGC